GCUAGCACUGGUGCAGUGCCCAGUGAUGUUCAAAUAUACCUUAGGGGGCACAGAGGACCAGAUCCUGCAAAUCCAGAUGUGUUGUGCAGCCAAAAGGCAACAGAUCGUGUGGCUGCAUAUGGCGAGGCGAUGACUAGUCAGCACGGACCAGACUAUGACUGGAGGACCUCACUAUUGAUCCCCAGGUUGUGUAUGCAAGUGGUGGAAAAGCUCAUGGAAGGUACACAAUGUUUGCUAACGUCAUCGACUCGAGCCAGGUUAGGGUCCAGCGUGGAGGUUCAUCGAGGUCUGCUGCUCGUAGCUCCCGUCGCUCCACUCAAGAUCCAGCAGAAGUGGAGCAACUGCGAGAAGAACUUAGGCG
This is a long non-coding RNA of Zea mays, 361 nucleotides long. RefSeq lists it as uncharacterized. The transcript is spliced from 3 exons. Lineage: Eukaryota; Viridiplantae; Streptophyta; Magnoliopsida; Poales; Poaceae. The record is from RefSeq and is a predicted model, not a curated record.